RNAcentral lists this long non-coding RNA (637 nucleotides) under Mytilus galloprovincialis (Mediterranean mussel). The record is from RNAcentral. Lineage: Eukaryota; Metazoa; Mollusca; Bivalvia; Mytilida; Mytilidae.
UUAAUAAGUGAACUGUAUCAUACUUGUAGUACUUGACGAAGUGGGAAAAUUUCUCAGAAAAAAGAAAAAAACUUGAUAAAUUUGAAAUUGACAUGAAAUUAAGCGUUAUUGAACCACUGCACGCCCGCUGGCUAGUGAAAACACAAAAACAAUUAGAAACAAAGAAUGACCUUAUUCGUAGCGCUUUCGAAGCCGCAGGGAUAAAAGUUAAUCAAUAAAUCCUUUGAUCUAUGUGACAACUACAAUGUGUUAAUCGGUACUAUUUACAGGUGUACUUUACCUAACUGUAAUGUGUGUUGUUUUUAUAACAAUUUUAUCAGUGUCAGAAUUAGACUCGAGAUAAUUUUUAAUCCAUUUGUCAUUAUUAUUAAUAAAUAUCUUAUUACCAAAUGGCUUUGUAUAUAAACUUUUAGAAUCAAAGGUAAAGUAGUGUCCAUUAAAAGUUGUUGGUAUACAUUUGUUGUCGACAUAUACUAUUUUCAGACCAUGUGUUUGGAGUAGAUAUUGUUCAUGACUAUACUUCGAUAUAGGUAGGAAACACAUCUUUUCCAGUUAAAUAUUCGCGGUAGUUUUAUUUUCGCGUACCAAUUGCAACCGCGAAAAUAAAACUACCGCGAAAAUUUCCCGGUUUACAGUA